UACAGAGACUGCAAGCGUUAUUCGGAUUCACUGGGCGUAAAGGGUGCGCAGGCGGCCGUGUGUGUGAGGCGUGAAAGCCCGGGGCUUAACCCCGGAAUUGCACCUCAAACUACACGGCUAGAGCAUUGGAGAGGGUAGCAGAAUUCAUGGUGUAGCAGUGAAAUGCGUAGAUAUCAUGAGGAAUAACAGAGGCGAAGGCGGCUACCUGGACAAUUGCUGACGCUCAGGCACGAAAGCGUGGGGAGCAAAAGGG
RNAcentral lists this ribosomal RNA (253 nucleotides) under uncultured bacterium. Its description in RNAcentral is "partial 16S ribosomal RNA". It matches the Rfam family "Bacterial small subunit ribosomal RNA", at positions 524 to 776 of the family's 1533-position model. The record is from RNAcentral.